AUACAGAGGGUGCGAGCGUUAAUCGGAAUUACUGGGCGUAAAGCGCGCGUAGGCGGCUUGGUCAGUCGGAUGUGAAAGCCCCGGGCUCAACCUGGGAAUGGCAUUCGAUACUGCCAGGCUAGAGUAUGGGAGAGGGAAGUGGAAUUUCCGGUGUAGCGGUGAAAUGCGUAGAUAUCAGAAGGAACACCAGUGGCGAAGGCGACUUCCUGGCCCAAUACUGACGCUGAGGUGCGAAAGCGUGGGGAGCGAACAGGAUUAGAAACCCUAGUAGUCC
This 274-nucleotide ribosomal RNA is filed under the name uncultured bacterium. RNAcentral describes it as "partial 16S ribosomal RNA". It matches the Rfam family "Bacterial small subunit ribosomal RNA", at positions 523 to 796 of the family's 1533-position model. The record is from RNAcentral.